AGCUGCUGAGCGUGUGGCCUCAUAUGGUGCUUCCAUGAUGUCGGAGCAUGGGCAAGACUAUGAUUGGAUGAAUCAGCCUAUCGAUCCUCAGGUUGUGUAUGCUAGUGGAGGCGGAAAACCUCAUGGACGUUACCCCAUGUUUGGUAGUGUUAUCGACUCGACUCAGGUGAGGCCUGAAAGGUCUCGUCCAUCGAGGUCGUCUAG
Zea mays is the source of this 204-nucleotide long non-coding RNA. RefSeq lists it as uncharacterized. The record is from RefSeq and is a predicted model, not a curated record. The transcript has 3 exons. NCBI's taxonomy places the organism in Eukaryota, Viridiplantae, Streptophyta, Magnoliopsida, Poales, Poaceae.